This is a non-coding RNA of Pelobates cultripes (western spadefoot toad), 205 nucleotides long. The record is from the annotation of a GenBank genome assembly. NCBI's taxonomy places the organism in Eukaryota, Metazoa, Chordata, Amphibia, Anura, Pelobatidae.
GCGGUAUCGAAGUGGGUACCCCAACCAAAAGAACUGGCAUCUGUUGUAAUAACCUUCCAAGGAGGUUCUUCCAACGGGAAGCCUGUCGCUAAAUUCUUCUUGUUCUUCCACCAGGUCAACCCUUUCCUCACGGGUAGGGGUAAGGAGAUCCUUUGCUCCCAAUCUGUUCCCACUCUGUCGAACUGGAGAAGGAAGCAAUUCUGGA